GUGGGGAAUAUUGGACAAUGGGCGCAAGCCUGAUCCAGCCAUGCCGCGUGAGUGAUGAAGGCCUUAGGGUUGUAAAGCUCUUUCAGUGGGGACGAUAAUGACGGUACCCACAGAAGAAGCCCCGGCUAACUUCGUGCCAGCAGCCGCGGUAAUACGAAGGGGGCUAGCGUUGUUCGGAUUUACUGGGCGUAAAGCGCACGUAGGCGGAUCGUUAAGUCGGGGGUGAAAUCCUGGAGCUCAACUCCAGAACUGCCUUCGAUACUGGCGAUCUUGACUCCGGAAGAGGUGAGUGGAACUCCUAGUGUAGAGGUGGAAUUCGUAGAUAUUAGGAAGAACACCAGUGGCGAAGGCGGCUCACUGGUCCGGUACUGACGCUGAGGUGCGAAAGCGUGGGGAGCAAACAGGAUUAGAAACCCUGGUAGUCC
RNAcentral lists this ribosomal RNA (425 nucleotides) under uncultured bacterium. RNAcentral's name for it is "partial 16S ribosomal RNA". It matches the Rfam family "Bacterial small subunit ribosomal RNA", at positions 354 to 796 of the family's 1533-position model. The record is from RNAcentral.